GUGAGUGGGAGGAGCCUUCGUCCCUGUUUUCCGCAUCGAUUUCCUGCUGAAGGCAAUAGCGUUCGUCGCUCGUCAUGUCUGCUGCAAAGUAAUCGAAAUGGAAUCGCGCUGUUCGGACACGGAUAGCGAGGAGCAGCAGCAGGAACCUCUUCUUCACCGCGGACGAAAGGACAAGAUCCAGCCGGCUCCAGCAUGUUGCUCGGCACGCUACAGCCUGGCCCUGCUGUCCUGCUUCGGUUUCUUCGUGGUCUACGCACUGCGUGUCAAUCUGAGUGUGGCCAUGGUGGACAUGCUCAACACCACCAAACAAGAGCAACACAACCACAGCGGCUCCGUGUGUGCUGCCCAUCCCAGCCCGGCGCGGCCCAAACACAACCACACUGCCAGCCUGUACGACUGGGACUCUGAGACGCAAGGCUGGAUCCUGGGCUCGUUCUUCUAUGGCUACAUCCUGACCCAGAUCCCCGGGGGUUACCUGGCGGGCCGCUUGGGGGCCAAGUGGCUGCUGGGUUUGGGCACCCUGGUGACGGUGGUGUUUACGCUGCUCACCCCCUUGGCUGCCGACCUGGGCGCCAGCUACCUCAUAGCCGUCAGGGUCCUGGAAGGCGUCGGGGAGGGUGUUACCUUCCCAGCCAUGUUCAGUAUGUGGGGAGCAUGGGCUCCGCCCCUGGAGAGGAGUCGUCUUCUUACCAGCUCCCAGAUCGGAAUCCUUAUCGGGACGGUGGUGUCGCUCCCGCUCUCAGGUGAAAUCUGCUUCUACCUGGACUGGACCUAUGUCUUCUACAUCUUUGGUGUAGUGGGCCUGUUGUGGUUCAUGCUGUGGGCAUUCCUGGCAUUUGACAGUCCAAACAGUCACCCGUGGAUCUCGGAGCAGGAGCGAAUCUACAUCACGAGCUCACUGAAGAAGGAGCUGUCGCCACUGGCCCAACGCAUUCCCUGGCGAGCCAUCGUGACGUCGCGCCCGCUGCUGGCCAUUGUGGUGGCUCACUUCUCGUACAACUGGACUUUCUACACCCUCCUCACCCUCCUGCCUACCUACAUGAAUGACGUCCUGGGCUUCAGCAUACAGCAGAACGGCUUGUUGUCGGCUCUGCCUUACCUGGGUUGCGCCAUGUUCACCUUGCUGAGCGGUCAGCUGGCCGACAACUUGCGGGAAAGGUGGCACUACCAAACCGUCACGGUCCGGAAAUUUUUCUCCGUCGUGGGUAUGAUCGGACCGGCCGUCUUCUUGGUGGCGACCGGUUACACAGGAUGCAACUACACUUUGGCGUUGACUUUCCUCACCGUCUCCUCUUCGCUGGGUGGACUGUCGUCGUCCGGCUUCAACAUCAACCAUUUGGACAUCGCCCCUUCGUACGCGGGGAUCCUGCAGGGCAUCACCAACUGCUUCGCUACCAUUCCUGGGAUGGUGGGACCAGUCAUUGCAAGAAGCCUCACUGUAAACAACACCAUCGAAGAAUGGCAGACGGUCUUCUACAUCGCGGCGGCCAUCAACAUCUUUGGCGCCACCUUUUACAGCAUCUUCGGUCAAGGCAACGUGCAGCCCUGGGCCAUCCACGCCGACUCCUACACCGCCCAAGACUAAGACCAAAGCACGCUUACGUAAGAAGAAAACAGAGUUCAGUCGAAUUUACUGUCUUAACAGUCAACUCCCACUUAUUGCAGGGGAUAAGUUCCAAACCCACCUUUUGAUGUCGUGGACGUGAACAACCGCAAUAUAAUGGGAUUUCACUUAACUACCGAAAGAGCUGGGAUAUUUUAUCAUUUGUUUUUAGCCAUUAUAUUGUUUUCUCUACCUUUCACACAAUUACGUGGGUGAAAACCUGCUUUUGAAGGGCUGUGUGAAGGAGUCUCGUCAUCUCCUAGAAUCUUCAUUUCUAGUCUGGUCACUUAUGGGAUCGCCAAUUGGCAGCUUGUUUCGCUUAGCCCCUUUCACAACAGCUGAUGGGCUUUAUCACUUUGUGCCUUUCAUACAGACACCUCAGUUUAUGAUUAUUUUUUUGGGCUGUGCCAAAAUCGUUUCCAGAUCUUGAUUUUUAUUUUAAAUAGUGGAUACUAAGAUGCAACUUUUUAGUGUUUUGCAAUUCUCAGGUGUGGCAUCAUGGAAUUAAAAGGGAUCACUCCGUUUUGGUUAAUAAUUUAAAGCGGGCGUUUUUUUUUAAAUACACAAAAGACAGAAGUUAGCUUUUAAAUACUUUAGUAUUAGAAAUGACAAGACGGUCCACUUUGCACAUUUGCCAGAUGUCACAUCUUGACCGAUUUUGUACUUGUGCCUUAAGCUUUUGAACAUGGUCGCACAAAAAAAGAAAAUAAUAAUAA
Molecule: RNA transcript, 2319 nt
Organism: Hippocampus zosterae (dwarf seahorse)
Lineage: Eukaryota; Metazoa; Chordata; Actinopteri; Syngnathiformes; Syngnathidae
Gene: slc17a5
Gene name: solute carrier family 17 member 5
Exons: 11
Source: RefSeq, a predicted model, not a curated record